RNAcentral lists this non-coding RNA (123 nucleotides) under Carnobacterium iners. Its description in RNAcentral is "FMN sequence". It matches the Rfam family "FMN riboswitch aptamer (RFN element)". From Rfam's summary of the family: The RFN element is a highly conserved domain that is found frequently in the 5'-untranslated regions of prokaryotic mRNAs that encode for flavin mononucleotide (FMN) biosynthesis and transport proteins. Lineage: Bacteria; Bacillati; Bacillota; Bacilli; Lactobacillales; Carnobacteriaceae. The record is from Rfam by way of RNAcentral.
AUUCGUCUUCAGGGGCAGGGUGUAAUUCCCGACCGGUGGUAUAGUCCACGAACUAGAUAGCAUUUCUAGUUGAACUGGUUUAAUUCCAGUACCGACAGUAAAGUCUGGAUAAAGAAGAUGGGG